UGGGGAAUAUUGGACAAUGGGCGAAAGCCUGAUCCAGCCAUGCCGCGUGUGUGAAGAAGGUCUUCGGAUUGUAAAGCACUUUAAGUUGGGAGGAAGGGCAUUAACCUAAUACGUUAGUGUUUUGACGUUACCGACAGAAUAAGCACCGGCUAACUCUGUGCCAGCAGCCGCGGUAAUACAGAGGGUGCAAGCGUUAAUCGGAAUUACUGGGCGUAAAGCGCGCGUAGGUGGUUUGUUAAGUUGGAUGUGAAAUCCCGGGGCUCAACCUGGGAACUGCAUUCAAAACUGACUGACUAGAGUAUGGUAGAGGGUGGUGGAAUUUCCUGUGUAGCGGUGAAAUGCGUAGAUAUAGGAAGGAACACCAGUGGCGAAGGCGACCACCUGGACUAAUACUGACACUGAGGUGCGAAAGCGUGGGGAGCAAACA
This 427-nucleotide ribosomal RNA is filed under the name uncultured bacterium. RNAcentral's name for it is "partial 16S ribosomal RNA". It matches the Rfam family "Bacterial small subunit ribosomal RNA", at positions 355 to 774 of the family's 1533-position model. The record is from RNAcentral.